This is a long non-coding RNA of Homo sapiens (human), 3626 nucleotides long. Lineage: Eukaryota; Metazoa; Chordata; Mammalia; Primates; Hominidae. The record is from Ensembl.
ACGGCCUCAGUGAAAGGGAACCGCUGGUGACAGGGCCUACAGACCCCGACCAAAAAGCGCAUAUAACUCACGUGCAGGCUUCGAUGCACAAAGACCCCGGGGGCCGGCGGAGCAGGGUCGGAGAGCGCGACAGCCCCUGCCCUGAGACCCCGGCUUUAUGUGCUACGCAUCCACGCGUGGCACUGCCCCUUCCAUGCAGUCUCCUUCCGUGGAUAAAGUGACACAUUUUGUUUUGUUUUUUUUUUUUAAGAUGCAGUCUCGCUCUGUCGCCAGGCUGGAGUGCAGUGGCGCUACCUCGGCUCGCUGCAACCUCCGCCUCCCGGAGUCAAGCAAUUCUCCUGCCUCAGCCUCCCGAGUAGCUGGGACUACAAGCACGCGCCACCAUGCCCCCCUAGUUUUGGUAUUUUUAGUAGAGACGGGGUUUCCCCAGGUUGGCCAGGAUAGUCUCCAUCUCUUAUCCUCGUGAUCUGCCCGCCUUGGCCUCCCAAAGUGCCGGGAUUACAGGCGUGAGCCACCGCACCUGGCCGAGUGACACACUUUGUAAGACAAAAGCCAUCUCAUGAACUUCUACACCCAUGAAGUGUGUCUGGGAGGCCCCCUCCUCUGGGCACCACUGCCCUACGAUGGCUCCAUCUGUAGCCUCCUUUUCCAAGAGGACUUAAGACCGACAAUAAAUGGAUCCCAGAUACAGAUUCCCCUGCAAGCGGCAAACGUCCAUCCCCAUUACCGGAAACCUCCAGAUACUUCACACUUACUGGCAGCCCAGGACACGGGGACCCAAAUCCUUGCCUGCCCUGAGCAGUGGCUCUCGAGGCCAGGAAGGGGGGCUCGUGCUCAGAGCCAGGCUGGCCUGCCUGCUCACUUCUGUUUGCCAGGGCACCAUCAUCUCCCACCAAGGAUGAACCUGAAGCUUCAGGGCAACGAAGAGAAACCCAGAAGCGAAGGGACUUGCAACCAAGGCUGCCCAAAGUGGCCCCUGUCCAGGCCCAUCUCUAAAUACAACCCACACCGAGGAUGCCUGGUGGGGCAGAAGUCCCUGGGUCUCGUUCCCGUCAGGGGCGAGUGAACCUUCACAACCUCCCGGGGCUUUGGAAUUUGACUUAAUGAUGAAGGGCAACAUGGACCACUGGACAAAGACCUGGAGUUCCCACUACCUGCACCGCUCUGGCCAAUCCCAUUUGGAAAUCAGUCAGCAAGAUUCACUCUCCUCUGGACUCUGAGCCCCCGGGAGGAGAGGAUGGGAGAGGUCAAGCGUGUGCAAUUCUGUUGCAGCCUCACAACCAACAAGCAGCCGUGUUCCGACGGCUCUGCGGGAAGCCCAGAGGGACUCCCGUGGCUCAUACGGGGGCAGAGACGUGCAGGGCCCCGGGGAACGUGAAGGUGAGAGACAGAACAUACCGUGAAGAAGCCACUGAGAGUGGGAGACAGAGGCAGGAACAGGGAUGACACUGGAGGACAGCAGGCCUGCCUGGAGGCCAGCAUUCUCUACAACCUUCCACAAACCAACAGCAAAGCCCGCUCCGGGCCACGUGCCUGGCAGCUGCUCGGCCACUGCCCCGCUCCUCCCUAGGCAAAAUCCCAGGGAAGCACCUUGCGUCGUUUCCAUUUCCUCACCUCUUACUCUUCCUUGAACAGUCCCCCCAAGAAACUGCCUACCCACCAUCAACAACUGGCACAGGGCAGAUCCACGGGUCAGGCUGUGUGCACCUGACCGCUUCAUAACCCCUGCGUGGGCAGCCAGCACCCUCCAUCAGAAAUCGUUUGAUCCCGUGGCCUCUGGGUCUCCAUCAUUCGAGCUCGGGAGCAACAUCCCAUCACCAUCUCCUCUCCUCGGUGGGCCCCUCCUCGUGUUCACCCCUGCACUGGGGGGAACCCAGGCUCCACUCACAGAGGAGCCAACCUCUGGGCAGCCUGCCAGCUCGCUGUGAAAGUCCUCACGGCCCUGACUCCUCCUGGAGCUCUGCUGGCAGCACCUAAGUGCCCACUCAGACCUGAAUGGUGGCACCAGCGGAUGCAUGAAAUGCCAGCCCAGCACCCGCCCCGGUCUCUCCCAGCUCAGCAGCAGACACCGCUGUGCACUAGGCUUGAGGGCCACCUCCCAGGAGCCGCCCCUGACUCCAUUCUCUUGACCGGUCUGUUCAUCAGACCUCGACCACGGCCCCUGCCCCUGCUCUCCUGCCCGUUCUCCCGCCUGGCCUAGGAGAAGCCACAGCAAACCCCACGUUCCCCGCCACAAAGAGAAGGAAGUCCAGAGUCAGUGCCAGGCUGCCACGGCUCAGGGGCCCAGCCCACCACAGCCUUUCAUGCCCCCCCACACACUCCUGCCCAGGAGCUGAAAGAGCCCCACACUGCCGCCAGCCCCUACCCAGCCCUAAGACUCUUGGCAGCGCAUCUUGCUGCCGGGAAGCCUCUGACACGGAUCGUCAGUGCACGUCCAGCUCCUCCACCAAAAUCGAAGCUUCUCGUGGGCAGAGACGCCACCCGGCAUAGCAGCGCAUCCCCAUCACCCAUCAACCUGCACUUGGCAAGCACCUCCAAACAGAGAGAGCACACACACUCCGCCGGCAGCCGAAGGAGCUGCAGGAUGGUGCUGAGAGUGGGAGCAGGCCAGAACGAAGCUCUAACACAGAAGAGCCGGGUGCUGGGGAGAGACGGGGAGGACAGGUGGGAGGACUCAGGCCCCUCCCCAGGCAGGAUGGGGAGGCCACGACACUUGGGCCAGCUUGGAGGGUGGCGGGGGAGGAGAAGAGCAGAUGCAGACUGCACCUGCUGGGGGUGACGACGGUGUGGCGUGGCCAGCCCAGCCACUGGCAGGCCCACAGGUCAGCUGGAUGGGGCAGAGGUGGGGCCCACCCCAACUUCCACCGGGCCUUGCCUCCCAGAUUCCUGAGCCAAGGUUUAAUAACAGAAAAGAUGGCGCUCUAGGGGAGCAAGGGACGCCGACCAAGCAAGCCGCAGCAGAGAGGACUGUGCUGGAGCCACAUCGGUGGCUUCUCCGGGAGGUAACGUCCUGUGCAGACUCCCAGCCACACCCUGGCGCUGCCUCGGCUGCCUCCCUGAAUGUCAGCGGCCUGAGGGACCCCACUCGGCAGGGAGCGGGGGCUGCUUGUGGGAACACACAGGGUCUGAUUCCAAGUGAGAGGGGUGACUGGUGUGGCUUCAGACGGCACCAACCACGCAAAGGAUACACAGCUUCUCGUCGUCCUGAAAUGUGAAGUAAAGCUUAACAAAGAAGGGGUGAUCCAGGCGCGACAUGACAUCCCGCUCUCUGGUUACAUAGGGGACCUUGUUCUCUUUUAUGAUAUGUCGCUUCUCCAGAAUUUUAACUUCAGGUGAGAGAGAAGUGAGUUACUAUCAGAAACAACAAAAAACACUAAAGACAUGACUCACAAAGGUAACUGGUACAAAUUAAAGUCUUUCAAACAUUGUACACAACAGCCUGGUGGUCUCUAAAGCCAACAGUGUCCUGUACCCUGAAAUCAGCACAGAAACACCGGCCCUGCCACCCCAGCCGCCCUGCACGGAGCCGCUUGCCCUGCUCCCGGACGCACAGCUCCCUGCAGCCCAUACUCACUCGCAUAUUCUCUGGAGGUUGCCAGUUCUCGAGCCAGGACAACCUGGUUGGG